Molecule: ribosomal RNA, 440 nt
Filed under: uncultured bacterium
Lineage: Bacteria
Description: partial 16S ribosomal RNA
Rfam family: Bacterial small subunit ribosomal RNA
Source: RNAcentral
CCUACGGGUGGCAGCAGCGGGGGAUAUUGCACAAUGGGGGGAACCCUGAUGCAGCGACGCCGCGUGGGUGAAGGAGCGUUUCGGCGCGUAAAGCCCUAUCGGCAGGGAAGAAGAUGACGGUACCUGACCAAGAAGCCCCGGCUAACUACGGGCCAGCAGCCGCGGUAAUACGUAGGGGGCAAGCGUUAUCCGGAUUUACUGGGUGUAAAGGGGGCGCAGACGGCAAUGCAAGCCAGGAGUGAAAGCCCGGGGCUCAACUCCGGGACUGCUUUUGAAACUGUAUGGCUAGAUUGCAGGAGAGGCAAGUGGAAUUCCUAGUGUAGCGGUGAAAUGCGUAGAUAUUAGGAGGAACACCAGUGGCGAAGGCGGCUUGCUGGACUGUAAAUGACGCUGAGGCUCGAAAGCGUGGGGAGCAAACAGGAUUAGAUACCCUUGUAGUC